GGAGGCAGCAGUGGGGAAUAUUGGACAAUGGGCGCAAGCCUGAUCCAGCCAUGCCGCGUGUGUGAAGAAGGCCUUCGGGUUGUAAAGCACUUUCAGCGGGGAGGAAGGGUGUUGUGUUAAUAGCACAGCAUUUUGACGUUACCCGCAGAAGAAGCACCGGCUAACUCCGUGCCAGCAGCCGCGGUAAUACGGAGGGUGCAAGCGUUAAUCGGAAUUACUGGGCGUAAAGCGCACGUAGGCGGUAUGUUAAGUUGGAUGUGAAAGCCCCGGGCUCAACCUGGGAAUUGCAUUCAAAACUGGCAUGCUAGAGUAUGUGAGAGGGGGGUAGAAUUCCAAGUGUAGCGGUGAAAUGCGUAGAGAUUUGGAGGAAUACCAGUGGCGAAGGCGGCCCCCUGGCACAAUACUGACGCUCAGGUGCGAAAGCGUGGGGAGCAAACAGGAUU
This 443-nucleotide ribosomal RNA is filed under the name Rheinheimera sp. QHL08. Its description in RNAcentral is "bacterial SSU rRNA". It matches the Rfam family "Bacterial small subunit ribosomal RNA", at positions 344 to 779 of the family's 1533-position model. Lineage: Bacteria; Pseudomonadati; Pseudomonadota; Gammaproteobacteria; Chromatiales; Chromatiaceae. The record is from RNAcentral.